Molecule: ribosomal RNA, 394 nt
Filed under: uncultured bacterium
Lineage: Bacteria
Description: bacterial SSU rRNA
Rfam family: Bacterial small subunit ribosomal RNA
Source: RNAcentral
AUUCGAUUGUGCCAGCAGCCGCGGUAAUACGGAGGGUGCGAGCGUUAAUCGGAAUCACUGGGCGUAAAGAGUUCGUAGGCCGUUUGGUAAGUUAGGGGUGAAAUCCCGCAGCUCAACUGCGGAACUGCCCUUAAAACUGCUGGACUUGAGUACGAGAGAGGGUGGCAGAAUUCCUGGUGUAGGAGUGAAAUCCGUAGAUAUCAGGAGGAAUACCGGUGGCGAAGGCGGCCACCUGGCUCGUAACUGACGCUGAGGAACGAAAGCGUGGGGAGCAAACAGGAUUAGAUACCCUGGUAGUCCACGCCCUAAACGAUGUCAACUGGUUGUUGGGUCUUCACUGACUCAGUAACGAAGCUAACCGCGUGAAGUUGACCGCCUGGGGAGUACGGCCGCA